GAUGAACGCUGGCGGCGUGCCUAACACAUGCAAGUCGAGCGAACAGACGAGGAGCUUGCUCCUUUGACGUUAGCGGCGGACGGGUGAGUAACACGUGGGUAACCUACCUAUAAGACUGGGAUAACUUCGGGAAACCGGAGCUAACACCGGAUAAUAUUUCGAACCGCAUGGUUCGAUAGUGAAAGAUGGCUUUGCUGUCACUUAUAGAUGGACCUGCGCUGUAUUGGAUAGUUGGUAAGGUAACGGCUUACCAAGGCAACGAUACGUAGCCGAACGGAGAGAGUGAUCGCCGGCACUGGAACUGGGACGCGGUCCAGGGUCCUACGGGAGGCAGCAGUAGGGAAUCUGCCGCAAUAGGGGGAAACCUGACGCAGCAGGGCCGCGUGAGUGGUGGAGGUGUUCGGAUCGUGAAGCUCUGUUAUUGGGGAAAAACAGACGUGUAAGUAGCUGUGCAGGGCGUGACGGUACCUGAUCAAGAAGCCACGGCUAACUACGUG
Molecule: ribosomal RNA, 497 nt
Filed under: uncultured bacterium
Lineage: Bacteria
Description: partial 16S ribosomal RNA
Rfam family: Bacterial small subunit ribosomal RNA
Source: RNAcentral